UACGUAGGUGGCAAGCGUUGUCCGGAUUUACUGGGCGUAAAGAGCGCGCAGGCGGUCGUUCAAGUCGCGUGUGAAGGCCCCCGGCUCAACUGGGGAGGGUCACGCGAUACUGAUCGACUCGAAGGCAGGAGAGGGAAGUGGAAUUCCCGGUGUAGUGGUGAAAUGCGUAGAUAUCGGGAGGAACACCAGUGGCGAAGGCGACUUCCUGGCCUGUUCUUGACGCUGAGGCGCGAAAGCUAGGGGAGCAAACGGG
Molecule: ribosomal RNA, 253 nt
Filed under: uncultured bacterium
Lineage: Bacteria
Description: partial 16S ribosomal RNA
Rfam family: Bacterial small subunit ribosomal RNA
Source: RNAcentral